RNAcentral lists this transfer RNA (75 nucleotides) under Caudoviricetes sp. RNAcentral describes it as "tRNA-OTHER". It matches the Rfam family "tRNA". Rfam says of the family: Transfer RNA (tRNA) molecules are approximately 80 nucleotides in length. Their secondary structure includes four short double-helical elements and three loops (D, anti-codon, and T loops). Further hydrogen bonds mediate the characteristic L-shaped molecular structure. tRNAs have two regions of fundamental functional importance: the anti-codon, which is responsible for specific mRNA codon recognition, and the 3' end, to which the tRNAs corresponding amino acid is attached (by aminoacyl-tRNA synthetases). tRNAs cope with the degeneracy of the genetic code in two manners: having more than one tRNA (with a specific anti-codon) for a particular amino acid; and 'wobble' base-pairing, i.e. permitting non-standard base-pairing at the 3rd anti-codon position. The record is from RNAcentral. Lineage: Duplodnaviria; Heunggongvirae; Uroviricota; Caudoviricetes.
AGGGGGUUAGCUUAAUGGUUAAAGCACAAGAACGUUUAAUUCUUGGGAGUGGGAGUUCGACUCUCCCACCCUCUG